UUCCUAUGCACAAACCUCUUUGC
Molecule: microRNA, 23 nt
Filed under: Petromyzon marinus (sea lamprey)
Lineage: Eukaryota; Metazoa; Chordata; Hyperoartia; Petromyzontiformes; Petromyzontidae
Description: Pma-Mir-202-P6_5p (mature (guide))
Source: RNAcentral